UUUCCGUAGGUGAACCUGCGGAAGGAUCAUUACUGAGUGAGGGCCCCUCGGGGUCCAACCUCCCACCCGUGUUUAACGAACCUUGUUGCUUCGGCGGGCCCGCCUCACGGCCGCCGGGGGGCAUCUGCCCCCGGGCCCGCGCCCGCCGAAGCCACCUGUGAACGCUGUCUGAAGUAUGCAGUCUGAGACAAUUAUUAAAUUAAUUAUAACUUUCAACAACGGAUCUCUUGGUUCUG
This 236-nucleotide unclassified non-coding RNA is filed under the name plant metagenome. RNAcentral describes it as "partial contains small subunit ribosomal RNA, internal transcribed spacer 1, and 5.8S ribosomal RNA". The record is from RNAcentral.